UGUGCCUAAUGAGAGCCAUCGCGUGGCCAAGGAUCACCACGCAGACGGAAACAGUUUUGUCCCGGGCUUCUGUAAGCGGGCAGGGGGAGGGUUAAGCCUACCCGAAGGCGUGUUUUGUUGAGUGGCUUCGAAAGCGGCCGAGGCAGCCGAAGCAGCUUUCGAAGUUAGCAAACAAAGCGUCUCCCCAGUAACCGCCCGGUUGCAGACCAGGCUCCUGCCCCUCAGACCGCGGAGUCGCAGCGUCGGCCGGCCCCCGGCUCCUCCUCCCUGCGUCUCUCCUCCCUCCGCUCCAGUUCCCCAACGGAAAAGAGCCACCAAUCCCAGCAACAAACAACCCUUCAAAUGCUGGGACGCCGCGGCCCUCUAACGGGCGGCCUCGCCUGCUCCCCGCCCCACAUCUGUCCCGCACUCGGUCGCAGCAGCUGAUUCAUCUCCAGCCAGGCCCGGGGAAGGAACUGCGCUCCAGCAAGUUGCAGAGUAGCUUCCAGGCUGGUGGUUUCCCCUAGGACCAUGCUUCCCCCCUCUGCCGUUUUAGGUGAUGGGGAAAGUCUCAGAGGCAAGCGACAGUUCGUUUACUUCAAAACAACGGGACACACGCGAAAACUAGACCCAGCGGAGAGGGCGGGGAGGGGGCAGGCGUUUCUUGAGAUCAGCCAAACAGCAUCUGGUCUUUUUAAAAGGGUUAUCUCAUCAAGGAACUCCAGUUGGAGUCCUAACUCUCAACCAAAAUAAACGAACAGGAACAUUUGUUUGCUCAA
Molecule: long non-coding RNA, 758 nt
Organism: Suricata suricatta (meerkat)
Lineage: Eukaryota; Metazoa; Chordata; Mammalia; Carnivora; Herpestidae
Exons: 2
Source: RefSeq, a predicted model, not a curated record